Molecule: non-coding RNA, 18 nt
Filed under: Mus musculus (house mouse)
Lineage: Eukaryota; Metazoa; Chordata; Mammalia; Rodentia; Muridae
Also listed under: 1 other name
Source: RNAcentral
CUGCUGCUGCUGCUGCUG